UACAGAGGUCUCAAGCGUUGUUCGGAUUCAUUGGGCGUAAAGGGUGUGUAGGUGGCGCCGGAAGUCGGGUGUGAAAUUUCGGAGCUUAACUCCGAAACUGCAUUCGAUACUGCGGUGCUUGAGGACUGGAGAGGAGACUGGAAUUCAUGGUGUAGCAGUGAAAUGCGUAGAGAUCAUGAGGAAGACCAGUGGCGAAGGCGGGUCUCUGGACCGGUACUGACGCUGAUGCGCGAAAGCGUGGGGAGCAAACGGG
Molecule: ribosomal RNA, 253 nt
Filed under: uncultured bacterium
Lineage: Bacteria
Description: partial 16S ribosomal RNA
Rfam family: Bacterial small subunit ribosomal RNA
Source: RNAcentral